This 85-nucleotide transfer RNA is filed under the name Felis catus (domestic cat). It matches the Rfam family "tRNA". Rfam says of the family: Transfer RNA (tRNA) molecules are approximately 80 nucleotides in length. Their secondary structure includes four short double-helical elements and three loops (D, anti-codon, and T loops). The record is from Rfam by way of RNAcentral. RNAcentral also lists the same sequence under 1 other name. Lineage: Eukaryota; Metazoa; Chordata; Mammalia; Carnivora; Felidae.
GCCUGGGUGGCUUGGUCGGUUAAGCAUCUGACUUCGGCUCAGGUCAUGAUCUCAUGGUCCGUGAGUUCGAGCCCCGCGUCAGGCU